RNAcentral lists this ribosomal RNA (1241 nucleotides) under metagenome. RNAcentral describes it as "bacterial LSU rRNA". It matches the Rfam family "Bacterial large subunit ribosomal RNA", at positions 1564 to 2815 of the family's 2925-position model. The record is from RNAcentral.
UGAAUACGAGACGCUAAGGCGUCGAAGUAGUGUAUGUCAUACUUCCAAGAAAAGCUUGCACUGUCAUAAAUAAAAAGUGCCUGUACCAUAACCGACACAGGUGGGUAGGUAGAGUAUACUAAGGGGCGCGAGAUAACUCUCUCUAAGGAACUCGGCAAAAUAACUCCGUAACUUCGGGAGAAGGAGUGCCUUAUUUAUAAGGUUGCAAUAACAAGAUCCAAGCAACUGUUUAUCAAAAACACAGGUCUCCGCUAAGUCGCAAGACGAUGUAUGGGGGCUGACGCCUGCCCAGUGCCAGAAGGUUGAAGAAGUUGGUUAGCACUUGCGAAGCUGAUAACUCAAGCCCUGGUGAACGGCGGCCGUAACGAUAACGGUCCUAAGGUAGCGAAAUUCCUUGUCGGGUAAGUUCCGACCCGCACGAAAGGCGUAAUGAUUUGGAUACUGUCUCGGAGAGGGGCUCGGUGAAAUAGACUUGUCUGUGAAGAUGCGGACUACCUGCACCAGGACAGAAAGACCCUAUGAAGCUUUACUGUAACUUGAAAUUGAAAUUGGACUUUAUUCGCGCAGUAUAGGUGGGAGGCGUUGAUUGUAAUCUUGCGGGAUUAUUGGAGCCAUCAGUGAGAUACCACUCUUGUAAUGUUAGAUUUCUAACUUUGUAUCAUUAUCUGGUCAAAGAACAGUUUCAGGCGGGCAGUUUGACUGGGGCGGUCGCCUCCUAAACGGUAACGGAGGCGUACAAAGGUUUCCUCUGAACGGUUAGAAAUCGUAUCUAGAGUGUAAAGGCAUAAGGAAGCUUGACUGUGAGACCUACAAGUCGAGCAGGGACGAAAGUCGGUCUUAGUGAUCUGACGGUACUGAGUGGAAAGGCCGUCACUCAACGGAUAAAAGUUACUCUAGGAUAACAGGCUGAUCUCCCCCAAGAGUUCACAUCGACGGGGAGGUUUGGCACCUCGAUGUCGGCUCAUCGCAUCCUGGGGCGGUAGUACGUCCCAAGGGUUGGGCUGUUCGCCCAUGAAAGCGGUACGCGAGCUGGGUUCAGAACGUCGUGAGACAGUUCGGUCCAUAUCCGGUGUAGGCGUUAGAAUAUUGAGAGGAGCCUUCUUUAGUACGAGAGGACCGAGAAGGACAUACCUCUGGUGUACCAGUUAUCGUGCCAACGGUAAACGCUGGGUAGCUAUGUAUGGAGUGGAUAACCGCUGAAAGCAUCUAAGUGGGAAGCCCACCUCAAGAUAAGUAUUCUC